Molecule: long non-coding RNA, 3798 nt
Organism: Pteropus alecto (black flying fox)
Lineage: Eukaryota; Metazoa; Chordata; Mammalia; Chiroptera; Pteropodidae
Exons: 3
Source: RefSeq, a predicted model, not a curated record
UAUAAGAAGAGGAGAUUGGGACACAUACACACAAAGAAGAAAAAAAGACCACAUGGAGACACAGAGAGAAGGUGCCAUUGAUAAGCCAAGGUGCUGAGGUUCUAUUUUGUGAAUUAGAAGUGACCAAAGUCAUUGCAAGGUCCUUAAUUCCAGGAAUAAAACUAUAUUCAAAAGAUAUUCACGUAAAGAAGAUGUGCAUUAUGUUUGGGAAACAAAUGAUGCUGGAAAUAGUGCAGGAAAUAAGAGAGCUUUGCAUCUGGGUUCCUCAGGAGACUCUGCAAUUGCCCUGGAACUGGAAAAUAUGGCAGUAACAUGCUGGGAUGCCACCUUUUGGCUAACGAACGCAAUUGUCAGGUGACAGAGGAACCCUGACCAACUGACAUUGAUUCUUGGUACAGAAGCAAGCACUGCAGAAGUCAUCCAGGAGAGAGACAAAUGACCGAUGUGCUGUAUGGUGAAGAUUUUAUGUAUUUAGUGACCAAAAUCUUGUUGCUUUUGAAAAAAGAAAUUCACAGUUCUUUUUUAGAGUUGCCAGUUUAAGUAAUAAUCAAUAUAGGGAGAGAUGGGGUUAUUUUCUAAAUGAAAUAAGAGGAACUUUGGCUGCUACUGUGCUACAUCAGGUAUGUAAUAAAAGACAAAAGACAAGGAAUCGAAACAGAAGAGAGGACCUUGAGUAACUGUAGUUUUUAUGUUAGGGAGAAUGUGAGAGAGAAAAGAAGCAUUGUAUCUUGGAUUAACAGGACUGCAGGAUUUCAUUAAUGACAGCCCAGCUUUUUAGCAAAGGAAGACAGUUAGAGCAGUAAAAGAGAACAUGACCAGAAUGUGCUCUGCUAAUUGGAAAUGUAUAUUAUCUUCAGGCGAUGUGUGUAGGGCAGGGAGGGGGACUAGGGAGGAUGGGAAGAAACACAUAUUGAGAGCUGGCAGGGGGAACUAGACCUAGGGUGCCCCAGGUUUGGCUGUACCAAUGGGAUAGUUAAAGGGUCUUUUCUUGUAGAUAGGAAUGCUAUUGCCCAGAGCCCUCCCACCCCCACUCCCUUUUAAUUCAGUGGCUAUGUAGGGGCUUCUUUGAUGGUGGCUUUGAAGUUGGUGGCUUUGAGAUUACUCUUCCUCUGUGACCUUGACCACCAGCCAUGAGGUUAGUGGGGAAGGGGAGGGGUGGAGGAAGGAGCUAGAGUUGGAAAAAGAAAAGGAAGGAGAGAGGAGGGGAAGGAAAGGCUGCCCUAAGACAUUUUUGCAGCAUUCCACGACUUUUCUGAUCACUGUGCAAAGUUGAAAUAUGAUUGCAGCCUUUGCACCAGGAAGGAAAGAAACCAUUUAAAUGAAAAAUUAGCUGCCUUAGCAGGUCAAGCACAUAGUUACAUUAAUGUCGUGUAGAACAAUAAAUCAACUUCGAUCUCCAAUUGAAGAAAUGCUAAUUUAGCUCAACGAUUCACUGAUUGUACUUUCCUCUGAUAGAAAUCUUUUCUUUUAUUUAAUGCGAAGCCGUGAUUUGACAGCCUCCUCUAAUGGUGCUUGCAGACUCUCAGCAUUUCAGUGGAAUUCUGAUCAUGGUUUUAAUAUUCCGUGCAGCUCUGCCCCCUCUGAUUUCACGCUCACACAUUAACGAGAGCUGACACUGGAGAUUAGACGCAGACAGCUGGAAUGCCAGGUCUUUGUUGCAGUAUGGACAGGAGCCAACGUCGUUCAACCACAGCCAAGAGGGACCUGGGAAAGUCUUCUUAAGAAGGAGGGGAAGGCAGGGUGGGGGCUUGAGUUCUGGUGGGAGCGGGGGAUGGGGACAGAAAGAAAGGCAAGGUAGUUUCUGAAGGGCAUAGGAAAGGAGUUAUUUGCAAAAAGCCCUUUUGUCUCUGAAAUUCACAUUUGAAUCAAUUCUGAUUUAUUCAGAGGAAAUGGAUCAUUCCAGGGAAAUCCCAAAUUGGUUGCAGUGUUUUUUCUGUAAACUCCGAAAACCCAAGUGUGAUGCUGAAAAUGGAAAUGUCUCCCAGCUUCAGCUGCUCACUGGCUUGUCUAAGAAACAAUGGUGAUUACAAGCUGGAGGAAGAAUGCAUGCCCAAGGAAAUGUGUUCUCCUCUUUGCCUUUAAAACAUCAUUUAGUUCCAGGUGAAUAGAUGGGGAAAUAAAACCAGAUUUAUGAGCCAGGGCUGCCUGCUCGACUAGUGACUACCCAGGCAAGAAAGGAAGUCUCAUAGUCUAACUGCCUUGAUCCUAAUAAAUUGUUUCCUGAUACCAGAAAUAAAGUAAAGAUCUACAGUUUCAUCUAAACCAUGAAGCAACUCGUGUUCAGAUGGUGACCAUAGUGCAAAAGAAAAGGCAGGGUGUUGCCUGAAACAGUGGCGCAACUUUCUCAAAAAGAAAAUGACAGAUGAUUGGAGUUGCAAAGAUGGCACAUUAUACUAUGUCAAAAAAAAAUUGUUUCUGCUCCUGGGGGAAACAAAUUGAGUAGAAAUAACAAAUGUACUUCUUGCUAACUGUAUCAUUAACAAUAAUUAUACUUUGCAUUUUUAGGGGAUAUCAAGAUACUAGAACCCUUCAUAAAUAUUCAUAGAGAAAAGUUGAAGAAGAGAGGCAAAUAUACCCAUUCUCAAUGAAGGAUGGGUGGAUGGAGAAACUGAUGCCCAGGGCCUAGCAGGGGCUACUUGAAAUUAAAUAGAAAACAAAUUACAAGGUUGCAUGCUGCAGCUGGCAUAAAGCUAUCCAGGCUUUAAUUUGAAGCUCAGAUGAACUGAAUUAUCUUAUAUCACUUUGGCCUAUGCUUACUUGCCCUUUUUCCUGGGCUUGGUUGGACCACUUCACUGACAUAGGUUUAGUUAUUCAACUAGUAUUUCUUGAGCACUGAACUAAGCGACAUUUUGAUUUAAAAGGAAGUAUGAGUUUGGACCCUUAUAUUAUAAUAUAUAUAUAAUGUAAUAUGUAUAUAAUGUAAUAUGUAUAUAAUGUAAUAUGUAUAUAAUGUAAUAUGUAUAUUAUGUAAUAUGUAUAUCAUUAAUAUUUUUAUAAGAACGUGGAGGUCAUAUCACAGUAGUUAAAAGUAUACCUUAUAACAUUGCAUGUAUCAGAGUAAUUAAGAAUAUGUCAGAGAAAUUCGCACAUGAAUCUCAGUUCUAUUACUGGCUUUGUGACCUUUAGCAAGUUACUAAACUUCUCUCUAAACCUCAAUUUUCUUGUCUGUAAAAUGGGGAAUAUAAUAAAACAAUCUAUAGCUCAGUGCCUGACUCACAUGAGCACUCAAUAAGUGCUAACUAUUAUUGUUGUUGUUAUUUUCAUGUAGUUAUUGGGAGGGUUCGAUGAGAAUACAUAUAUACACUCACGGGCCUUUACUGAGUUAGCUUAAAGAGUUGUGUGGGUUUUUUCGGUUGUUUGUUUUUUAAGUCUGUUCCAAGGGCUUAUAACCCAUGGCAGGUUUUCAGUGGUCACAGGUUAGCAUCCUCCAUAGUUACUUUACUUGCAAUUGGUAAUAAAUGGCUUUGACCAAAGAGGAGAGCAAAUUAACUGAAUAGAAUGCUUAAAUGCCUAAAGAUGUGGGAGAAUACUUCUGGGAGUUAGAUAGCAUUCAUCAUAUCAGUAAGAAUAUUGCACAUAUAGUAUAUACUGGAAGGCAAAAAUGCCUGGGGUGGUUUUGUUUAUAACUCAUUGCUUUGCCUCUGUGACAUGUAGCCAAGAGAAUCAUUUAUGCCAACGCACUGUCAUUGAAAUAGUAUAUCUAUUUGUUCAGUGUGCAGAGAAAAUUUUCCUGACCUUGUGUAUCUACUCGGAGUAGGAGCACCUAGUAACAUCUAAAUAAAAUGUAGAAGACUGCAA